GUAUUGAUUGCGUGUGACCGCAAAAAUAAACAUUCUAGACUGUAUCAAGUUUUAUGUGAAAACGCGAGCCCUCCCGCAAAGGGGGACCCACGCGGUGAUGCACAAAAGGGGGUGAGAUGGAUUGUGUGAGAACGCUCGGGCGUGCACGACCUUUGAAAGGUCAGCGACAGCCCUUGCGCCUCGGUUGUAUGAUAAUGAUCCUUCCGCAGGUUCACCUACGGAAA
This 224-nucleotide unclassified non-coding RNA is filed under the name uncultured fungus. Its description in RNAcentral is "sequence contains ITS1". Lineage: Eukaryota; Fungi. The record is from RNAcentral.